CUACUACCGAUUGAAUGGCUCAGUGAGGCCUUCGGACUGGCCCAGGGAGGUCGGCAACGACCACCCAGGGCCGGAAAGUCGGUCAAACUCGGUCAUUUAGAGGAAGUAAAAGUCGUAACAAGGUCUCCGUAGGUGAACCUGCGGAGGGAUCAUUA
This 155-nucleotide ribosomal RNA is filed under the name Cercosporella virgaureae. Its description in RNAcentral is "partial 18S ribosomal RNA". It matches the Rfam family "Eukaryotic small subunit ribosomal RNA", at positions 1679 to 1831 of the family's 1831-position model. Lineage: Eukaryota; Fungi; Ascomycota; Dothideomycetes; Mycosphaerellales; Mycosphaerellaceae. The record is from RNAcentral.